GUGGAUUAGAUACCCUGGUAGUCCACGCCGUAAACGAUGGAUACUAGGUGUAGGAGGUAUCGACCCCUUCUGUGCCGGAGUUAACACAAUAAGUAUCCCACCUGGGGAGUACGAUCGCAAGAUUGAAACUCAAAGGAAUUGACGGGGGCCCGCACAAGCAGUGGAGUAUGUGGUUUAAUUCGAAGCAACGCGAAGAACCUUACCAGGACUUGACAUCCUUGGAAUUCUGUAGAGAUACGGAAGUGCCUUCGGGAAUCAAGAGACAGGUGGUGCACGGUCGUCGUCAACU
Molecule: ribosomal RNA, 289 nt
Filed under: uncultured bacterium
Lineage: Bacteria
Description: partial 16S ribosomal RNA
Rfam family: Bacterial small subunit ribosomal RNA
Source: RNAcentral